This 51-nucleotide transfer RNA is filed under the name Leiocephalus personatus (Haitian curlytail lizard). RNAcentral describes it as "partial tRNA-Ala". Lineage: Eukaryota; Metazoa; Chordata; Lepidosauria; Squamata; Leiocephalidae. The record is from RNAcentral.
GAUAAGACCUGUGUUUAUCUAAAACACAUCUCCUGAAUGCAACCCAGACAC